AUCUCCACUGUGCCAUAUGUAUGGACCUGAUGAAAGACCCUCUUCAGUGUCCA
This 53-nucleotide small RNA is filed under the name Paraphysomonas imperforata. RNAcentral's name for it is "partial Mitochondrion-encoded tmRNA". Lineage: Eukaryota; Chrysophyceae; Chromulinales; Paraphysomonadaceae. The record is from RNAcentral.